This is a non-coding RNA of Brugia malayi, 80 nucleotides long. Lineage: Eukaryota; Metazoa; Nematoda; Chromadorea; Rhabditida; Onchocercidae. The record is from RefSeq and is a predicted model, not a curated record.
GAAUUAUCUUGUUCGGAUUAUUAAGGAGAGCAAAUGUUUUAAGGAUAAUCUGCUGUUCUUAAUAUUCUGAACAGUAAUGC